Molecule: transfer RNA, 67 nt
Filed under: Scarodytes halensis
Lineage: Eukaryota; Metazoa; Arthropoda; Insecta; Coleoptera; Dytiscidae
Description: transfer RNA-Leu
Source: RNAcentral
UAUUAUUACUUUGGCAGAUUAGUGCAAUAAAUUUAGAAUUUAUAUAUGUAAUUUUUUACAGGUAAUA